RNAcentral lists this long non-coding RNA (235 nucleotides) under Homo sapiens (human). RNAcentral's name for it is "HSALNT0404775". Lineage: Eukaryota; Metazoa; Chordata; Mammalia; Primates; Hominidae. The record is from RNAcentral.
UUCCAGAACACUGUUCCUGUGUUCUGAGUGUUUGUCCCUCACAUAGGAUUCCAAAACACUGCUACUGGGUUCUGAGUGUUUGUCCCUCAAAUAGGAUUCCAGAACACUGUUAUGAGCUUGUGAAUGUUUUUCCCAACCAAAGGAUACCGGAACACUGCUGCUAGGUUGUGAGUGUUUGUUCCUCAAAAAGGAUUCCAGAACACUGCUACGAGAGUCUGAAUGUUUUUCCCUCACA